CUCUUCUUCCCUUUCCCCUCUCUCUCUCCUUCCGGGCAGAGGACGGCGCGGGUGGGCGUCGGAGCAGGCGAGCUCCGGCGGCGGCGGCGGGCGUGGUCGGCGCCGCCCCCCGACCGGAGCGCCGCCUGUCCGCGUGAAGGCGAGUAGCGCGGCGACGCCCUGGAAGACGCCAUCGACGCCGCCAUCCGUGUCGCCGCCACCGACCACCCGGACGCCCUCCACGCGCGCCGGGACGGCAUCGCCGAGAGCCUCUCACCGCCGCUCCACAAGCCGCCUACGCCGCGCUCUCCCCUCCCGACGCCGUGCUCCGCCUCCUUUCCUCCCUCCCCUGCGCCCCCAAUUCCUUCAUGCUCAACACCACGCUCCGCGCCCUCGCCUCCUCCCCCGGCUCGGCCUCCGCCCUCGGCUAGGCCACCCUCGGCUUCUUCUCCCUCCUCCGCCACGACAGCGGCAACAGCAGCGGCGGCGGUGGCUCGUACUCGCCUCACUCCCUCCCGGGCACGCGCGUAUGGGAAAGGAGAAGAGGAACGAAGGAGCUAGAGCCAUGCCGAGCUCCCUCCUCUCCUGCCGGCGAGCUAGAAGGGCGGUGGAUGGCUAGGCGAGCUCAACCGGCGAGCGCGCGUGCGUCGCUCCCUCCUCUCCCGCCGGCGCCGCUCCCUGUGCGUCAGCCAUCCGUGUGCGGUCCGUGCGAGGCACCGCUCCGGGCGUGUAGGCUUCCGUGUGCCUCCUUCCUCGCUCGCCGUCGCCCUCACUUCAACUGUUUGGUUAUUAGGCGAUCGCAACAUAACCCAGUGAAGCAGUUCUGGUGCUGCUGUUUCAAUCCUGCCGCCGCCGCACCGCCCGCCGUGCUGGACGCCGCCCGGCGAGAGGAGGGAGCAGAGAGAUGGGGAUUGGGGAGAGCCGGAGAGAGGAGGAAGAAGAGGAUUGGAUUCGGUCAUUUGAGAAUGACAUAUGGGGCCCACGUGGGCCCCACCAUAUUUUUUUAAGCUGACAUGUGGGACCCACCAUUUUUAAAUUAUUUUUCCUGUGGCUGACAUGUGGGCCCACGAUUUUUAUUAUUUUUCCGACAUAUAAUUGCCACGUCAGCGCCACAUCAAUGCCACGUGGGAUGGAUAAGCCACGUAGGCGCCACGUCAGCCAAAACCGCCGAGGGACCUCGUUUGCCCGGUUUUCAAAAGUUGGGGGUCGGGUCGUACCGUUUUGCAGUUAAGGUACGAAAAUCGGACUAGGCGACAAAUAGAGGGACCCAAAGUCUUAUUCCUUCCGGUUUCUAUCCUCUUGUUGGGCCUUGCGCUCAAUGCCAGGCGGCCCAGUUAAACUACACGCAUGACAGCCCAUCACAGUUUGGACAUCCAGAUGGGCCAAAUUGGAAUAUAGCGAUCCAUUCGGCCCAUCAUAUUGUAAGGCCCAUCUUAUGUAUACUGAACAGAAGGGAAAGCCCACGACGCACCGGUACUGAGCACCGCAGCCACGGCGCCGCCGGCUGCUCGCCGGCGAAGGGAGCAGCCACGGCGCCGCCCACCACCGCCUCGAAGGCCACCUACUGCACUCGUCGAGGUCUUGUGUCUCCUCGGCCGACGAGUGGCUAGCGUUCUCAAGGCGGCCUCUCUCUCACAGACACCCAUUCUCGCUGCUUCGUCGGGCUGUGGUCAGAAGUUCAGAGGACUUUACAUGCCCAAUGUACAAGUUGCCGAUGUGUCUAAUUUGACAGCAGGAAUUACGGUCUACAAGAAAGAUAAGAUGAACUGUAUGCUGGAUGCUUAUGUGUUUAACAAGUCCUUCAAGCCUUGGUCUCUCCGGGUUCAUUCCUCUUUGCCUUCAGAAACUCAGCAAGAACCUGAAGCGCGACAUCGACAUCAUCAUUCCUCAUUAGGACCUCUGCAACCUCCGCAGGCGUUGUCAGCACCUCCUCAAUCAGCUGCUCGAUUUCUGGGUACAUGGCAUGGUUUUCGACAUUGUGGUAGUUGCUAGCCAGAACUCGGAAAGCCUCUCGAGUGCAAUACCCCAUGUGGAUGUGCAUGUCCAUCCUGCCAGGGCGCAGCAGUGCUGGGUCAAGCCGCUCUCUGUAGUUUGUUGUGAAGACGAUGAUCCUCUCCUCGCCGCUGGUUGACCACAGACCGUCGACAAAGUUGAGCAGUCCAGAUAGUGUCACCUGUUAGAACAAAAAUACCCAAAGUGGCAGCAUCAUUGGUGGGCUUGGCACGCUUGAUCUCUCCUUCGUCCCGUUGCUGCAGGUCGAUGGUGCAGUCAAUGUCUUCAACGACGAGGAUGGACCGGUUGCUCAUCCCGACGAGCAGCCUCCGGAGGUCAGAGUUGGACUUGACCUCGGUGAGCUCAAGAUCGUAGAUGUCAAACUUGAGGUAGUUGGCCAUGGCGGCGAUGAGGCUGGACUUGCCGGUGCCAGGUGGGCCGUAGAGCAGGUAACCCCUCUUCCACGCCCUGCCAAUCCUCCUGUAGUAGUCUUUCCUCUUGACGAACCUCUCAAGAUCGUACAUGACGGAGUGCUUGAGGCUGUGAUCCAUGGCGAGCGUGUCGAAGGUGGAGGGGUGGCGCAGGUC
Molecule: non-coding RNA, 2558 nt
Organism: Oryza sativa Japonica Group (Japanese rice)
Lineage: Eukaryota; Viridiplantae; Streptophyta; Magnoliopsida; Poales; Poaceae
Source: RefSeq, a predicted model, not a curated record